CAGGGAAUAGUUUAAUUUAAAAUAUUAAUUUUGGGGAUUAAUGAUAGAUUGAUAUAUCUUUCUCUGA
Molecule: transfer RNA, 67 nt
Filed under: Loxoblemmus doenitzi
Lineage: Eukaryota; Metazoa; Arthropoda; Insecta; Orthoptera; Gryllidae
Description: tRNA-Pro
Source: RNAcentral